AAGCCAUGCAAUAGGACUGCAUCUGUCCCAUGAACACUCAUGAGCUUGAACCGUGAGGUUCAUUUAUCUGUACCUGUGUCCAGAGGUGGCUUGUUGGGAACACUAGAAAAGACUUCAGGGGGAAAAAAAAAUCAGUUAACUUGCUUUUGAUGGGUAUUUUGACAAAUCUCUUAAAUUCCUGUCCCCUUCAAGUCCUGCUCCAGGAAGGAGCAAAGCAGUCUUCACUUUGCAGCUGGUUGCAAAAGGCCUCUGGGCUUUUUGCAGCAAGGCCUCUUCCUCUUGAUACCUAGUGAAGCUUGAAUCAGGAAGCCCUGGCUCUGUGUGGCAAAACUGCCUGUACUUAACCUGGAGGAUCUGUCAGGUUAUCAAGCUGUCAGAUGUAGCUUAGAGAUGGAUAGUUAAACAUCUAAACAGUUGUGCUCAAAAAUUUCUGGUGCUCUGGGGUUGCUUGAGAAUUUGAAGGAUAAGUGUGAAUGGUGCAGAGAAUGGGGGGCUUGUGACAGAAGGCUUUGUCAGGGUUCAAAAUCACCUGUAACAUGAUGUUAUUCCACAGGGUCAGGAAAAAGUGUCCGCAGUAUGAAGAGAAAGAAGAAAGGAAAAAACUUCGGCAAGAAAACAGAAAUGGACAUGUUGGUGUGUAAAUGAGGAAAAAGCAGAACAAUUCUGCUGUGGCCACUGCCAAGCUACAGGGUACCUCUGGCUACCUGCCACAUCCACCUGGACACUGGGGGCUGGAGUUGUUGCCACUAAGCCCUGACUCAUCAAGACGGAGGCUGCUGCAAGGAGAUGCCCAACAUGCCACUUGCUGCUGAGCCACUUGCUGGGGAGAACAGUUGCCACUCUACUUUGUACAACAACAUGGAGGGAGCUGCCACUGCAGGGGCAGAGGACUUGCUAUCAGGACCUGCUGGAGACUGCUGUUACUGAGCUUUCUCUACCUGUGUUAGACCUCUGGUCUCUGCUGUUUUGUGGAUGGACUUUUUUUCUGCUAGCAAGUCUCUUUUGGCAGCUCUAACUGAGGAGAAGUUGUGGCUUUCAGGAAAGUGAGGUGAAGGGGAGGAUGUUCCCUUCCCUCUCCCCAAAGUUAGAGAAGAGCUUAUCUAACUAGGCCUCAGUGGACAAAACUAAUUCUGCUCUUGCUGUGCUCCCUGUUGAUACCAGCUUCAAACGAUUUCAUCUCCAGUUCUGACUUGCAGGGUGUUGGUGACAAAUCUGUUAGCCACACCUGGGUUCUGUUACUGUAUGUGUGGAAGGUUCUCUCUCUAAAUUCAGUAGGACUUACUGUGUGAGUGGAGCUAUCCAUCUGUGUGUGUGCUAGCCGAAGUUAAAACUAGCCUCCUCAGGAUGCUAAGAAGGUCUGAAGCUCUGUCCCUGAAGGAAAGCAAUGCUUGAAAAAGCAAUAAGCCUGGGCACUCCUGUUGUGGUGUCUGUCCAUUGGCUACAAACAGCUGUUAUCCAGAUGUUGGAUGCUGCUUUGAGCAGCAUUGAAGUCAAGUGAUGUGAAUCAGAUUCAGCCAUUUGACAACUCAGCCAAGAACCUGUUCCUUUGAAGAAAGAAAUUGAUGCACUGAUACUCAGCAAGUGGUGGUCUCCUGUGCUUUACCUCCUGGUGUGAAGAACUCUACUUACCUCAAACUUCUCUGACCCAAGGACCCUCAGUUUCCUGAAUACCCAUGCAAUCUUGAGCACGGAGUAUUAUCUGAGUUCAGUUUCUUCUUGAAAGACUGUGUGCACUUUCUAAAUAGAUCAGAAUUCUUCUGGUAACAGAGCAAUGCCAUUAAUUGUCAAGUUAUAUCUGUAAAUGUGUACAUUUAUUGUAUUUAAUAUUUAAUGUUUCCAUAACAAAC
Molecule: long non-coding RNA, 1847 nt
Filed under: Anas platyrhynchos (mallard)
Lineage: Eukaryota; Metazoa; Chordata; Aves; Anseriformes; Anatidae
Description: lncRNA (ENSAPLG00020011043.1)
Source: RNAcentral